Molecule: long non-coding RNA, 881 nt
Organism: Capsicum annuum
Lineage: Eukaryota; Viridiplantae; Streptophyta; Magnoliopsida; Solanales; Solanaceae
Exons: 3
Source: RefSeq, a predicted model, not a curated record
AAAUCUCAAACCCUAAUUUUAAAAAACCAAAUUCUCCCUGUUUCGUCUUCCUCUCUCUCUCUAUCACCAAAGACGGAAAGCCAACGCCGGUGAAGCAGCCGGUGAAGAAGCCAACGCCGUCGACGGAAUCCGGUGAAGCAGCCGGUGAAGAAGCCAACGCUGUCUUCCAGCACCCCAACGCCGGCAGCACCACCGCCGGUGAAGCAGCGUCCACCAGCCAUCCGCUUCCCGUGAGGGAAUCUAUAAGCAGAUUGAAGCUGCUAUUUUGAAUUAUCAAGAAAUUAAGGAAAAUAUCAAAGGACGAAUUUAGGCGUCUUGUUGGUGAGUAUCGUAGUAGUUAGCCUCCUGAAAGUCAGGGUGACCCAAUACCCGAUCAUGCACGGAAUGAGUUAUUGAAACAAGCUUCGGGUCCUGCAAAUAGAGGCAAUUUCUACGGAUGCCCCACAGAAUAUUACGGCGAUAGUAUUAGGAGUUCGUCUGAUCCUGCAUACUCUAUCUCUUCGGUUGAUACAAAAACCAUUGAAAGACUACAAAAUACGGUUUCUCAACUCACUCAAGAGCUUGCUGAACAGAGAAAGAGUUAAAAGAAGGCGGAGAAGGCAACAUCACAAUUCAGGAAGCAGCAGCAGCAGUUCAGUUUUUUCAUUCAGACUGCAGGGGUUAUUCCUCCGUGUUUUGGUGAUGCAGUUCGGGCUGCAAAAGGUCUAGGCCCCCUCGAUGAUUUCAGCACUGAUGAGGACAUGGAAGAGGAGGACAAAUUCGAUGAUGCUGACUGUUAGUUUUGGUUUUUGUAUGUUUUUGACAUUUUGUUGUUUGCAACUAUGGUUGUUGUUGUUGUAUGCUGUAUUUGGGUUUUGCAAUUUUUUUUUUUUUUUUUUAAA